GGCGGGGGUGCGGGAGAGAGCCCGGCCGCCUGCGUCCCGGGCCGGGAGCCGCCGCCGAGGGCGGGAGGCUGCGCCUCAGGCGCCGGGACCGCGGGUGCCUCACACGGCGAAGGCAGCGGCCGCCUCGCUCUGUUGGCGCCGGGCCGAGCCGCCGGCCCGCGGCCCCUGAGGCAGCCUCUUUCGGUGUCAAGUGUUGAGGAUGCUGCGGGCUUUAGUGGUUGAAUGACUUAAUGAAGUAGCUUGACCGUCUCAUGCAGCAAUGUUUAAGAGGAUGUAGCGAGGUUUAGAUGUGUAAUGUGAAUCCUGCCGAAUUUGCAGGGCUGAUUUUUGUUUCUGUUGGGGAUCGCUUUUAUCCACCAAGCUUUUUAAACAGGAAUCUUCAGUUCUUAGGUUAAUACAUGUUACAUUAGCAUAACUCCUCAAGGUAUUCCUCAAAAUGGCAUGUUUUUACAGAAGUAGCUUGUAUCCUCAUUCCCUAACUUAGCAGUAGGCAGAAGCCCAGGCAGGUGCUGUCUGUUUCCUUUUCCUAGUACCUCUUGACUCCCUUCUUAGCCUUUAAACCUGGGUCAUAUGGCAGUCCCAGCUCUCGUCACUUAAAAUAUUUAUUGGCUUGUUAAACUGAACCACAUCGGCAGCUGUGAAGCCAAGAUUUGGUUUAGAAUUCUAACAGGGGACUCUAUGUUCUUUAGCAGAAGACAUAAAGCUAAUUUUGCCACAAUUUCCUAAGGAAAGAGGGAAUAAGGAGGCAGUGGCACAGUGCUGUCCUCAUUCGGAACAGGCAGCCUCAUUCCUUUAGAGCACUGAAGUAUUACUAAGCACACUCAUGAACCACAGCACCUGAAUAUUUUUUCUGUGAUCAGCUGUGAAAAAGGUGAGUGUGGACAUGUUAGAGCUGCCUAGAGGUUGUUCGGCAGUCCUUUCAGAGGAACGGGUAUGGCGGGAUAACUGUGCGAUGUCUCACGGCACAAGCCUUAAAGGACAUUCACUGGUGCUUAGGAAGUGGGAGUUCUGAAAAAUGGUAGGUGGAAAUACUUCCUCAAAGCGUGUAAUUAGAAGGAAAACGCCUGCCAGAGGAAAUCCUUCAGCAGGAUCCGAAGCAAGCAGAGCUGUGCAUGAACAACAAACCGGCCGAGUGCGUUUGUAACGAGAGCCAAAAAACCAUUCAGAGGAGAGAUUAAAGCAUAUGACUGAGGGUUCAAACUCAUCUCGAUGGGUAUGAGAGUCGUACUUCGCUGAGAUAUAGAAUAUUAAAGCCUGUCUUCUGCAGAGGUGUUGUGCUCUCCUUGAGUUGCCUGGUCCUGAGCCAUGUCAGGAUGGGGGCUGGACCAGCAGGGCUGUGAGCUUUGCCACAUGCCAGGCGGGAAGGUGUAAAAUCCUACUGCUGAUGGGCAGUGCUGCGAAGGCAAGAGUUCAGAAGUCUGCCUGCUGCACCCUGCUCCCUACACUGGAACGUGUACCAGGGAAGAGCAUCAGUUCUUCCGUGUGUGAAAUGGCAAAAGGGUGCAUAACGCCGUGUCUGCCUGCGCACCCGUGAAGCGCCAGAGGCUUGGAACGUGCAGUCGGUUCAGCAGCAGCAGGCUUUCCCCUGGCACUGGGUUUCAGGCUCUCUCAGAUGUUCUAGGAGUGUAUUUUCUUCGCUUUACAGAGAAACUGAAGGGAAGGAUGCAUAGUUGCCAGAACGUUGGGCAUUCCUGAGAUGGUGUACCCUGAAUGUUCAUUGGAAAGGCCAUUCACCAGGUCUUAUGAUUUCCUCUCACCUUUUUCCCCUCCCAAGUCUUGCUGUGAUCCAUUGGCUUUGUGUUUAUAUGGUCAUGUAAAAUGACAUGCCUUAGAGCAGUGUCCCUGCCUGUUGUUGAGAUUAAGUGUUGGUGAGUUCACCAGCUCCUCUUGGUGUUUCAGGUACCUGCGCUUAGAGGUUGUGUUUCAUUUCUGGUUUCAGUUUGACACGCAGCGCUUCGCAGCAAGGUUCACGCACUGCUGGAGUCCUCGUGUGUCAGGACCCACGUGUAGGGAUCAGAUUGUCCCUCAGAAUUCUGUUCCAUAAGCUGACAUCCUAAACCUUGCCUCGCCUUUUCUUUUUCAAGGGGAGAAGGUGUAAUUCCCUGGAUAAUCUGGGGGUUGAGAGUCUUCCUUUAAGUUCUCUCUGGUAUCUUGGCGUCCUUGUUGCGGAGACGCUUCCUGCUCUGAGCACAGCGGUUCGGUGCAGUUUAUUUAGCUAAACUGAAAGCAGCUGUGCUAGACUGAGAGUUGUUGUAUAAACAAACCAGUUCUUGUUUGGGUUUAUAUUCUUUAAAUUACCUCUUUCCAGUAUUUGUUGUUUCUUUGCUUAUCUGAAGGGAAUAGAUUUUGUUUACCAGGUAAACAGAGCCGUGUACCGCCCUGAAAUGAGCAGCAGCUCCCAGGCUGUGCUUGCUCCUGCGCUCCCAGGCGGCUGGGAUCCAACCUGUCCAGGAGCAGCCACAGGCUGCCUGUUCUCACUGCUGACACUCCUGCUGAUGGGAGUUGGGAUUCAGAUGGCACCAUAUCCCUGGACAGAAACCAAGGCAAGCACAGCUUUAAGUGGACCUUUAUGUAUGUUUGCUCUAGCACAUGUUUGAUCAUGAAACAAUCCCGUGGGGAUAGAAAUAAACACCCCCAAGUGGCCAGCUCCAGCAUUAGGAGGUAAAACUGGGGGGUAUCCACACUAGGAACCCCCGUUUGGCUGGGGUUUGAUAGAGGGUGAGGAGUUAGAGUGUUAUGGGGUUUGCAUAGAUAUCAUUACUGUUUCUGGCUGGCUUCAAAAUUCCCCUGCAUUCUAGUCGACAGGUAUAUAGCCCCCCCGGUGGGUGGGUGCGUUUGGGGAUUUUUUUCCUUUCUAUUUUAUUUGGUCUAGUGCUGUACUAGAGAAAUACUUGGUCUCCCUAGUGCUGCAGUCAGCUGGAAAGCUCUAGCUGGUGCAGAGCACUGACACAAAGCACCGAUCUCACCUCUUCUAGUUAAUUGUGGCAGGAUGUUUUGAUCCUAUUAAAUAUUCUCAUCUUUCUUUCUCCUCCAAGAAGGGUCCCAGGUUACUUAAAGUUUAACUGAAAGUUCCACACUUGGAUCCCAGGUUACUUUAAGUUCCAUAUAUAUCCUGGAAAAAGGACUGCAGGUGACAGCUGGAUUUAUGGCAUGCUGGAAUUCUUCACAAUACAGGUAAAGUAGUUAUUUGCCAGAUACAGACGUUUUUCAGAGGCUGGUGUUGAACAAUGAAAUGGAAUCUGUGAAGAAUUCAGGACCUCAAAGAACUUACUUCAAGUAAACCAGCAUUUUUUGAUCCAGUUUUUCUCCAGUAUGCAAACAAAACAGUUGUAUUAAAUAUAUUUAUAUAGAAGAAAACCUUUUGCACACUCCACCACUUAAAUUUGCUCCCCUUGGAAACAUGUAAGAACAUUUGGGCAGCUCUUAAUCACUUUUGUUGAUUCAGUGCUUUGAGGAUGCGCACCCAGCAUUGAUGCACACCAUGUUUUGAGCAAGCUUAGGAAAACAGUGUCAUGAGUUCAACUGAAACCUGGGCUUUUCUGGUGGCAUACAGAAGGUGAAGGAAUUGCUUUUUCCAUGCUCUGUUGCGGGGGGUGUAAACCCUUCAGUUGCUGCAGGAUACUCGGGAAGGAGUGACCUUGUGGAGCGGCGGCGGGUCCUCCACAACCACGCUUGUUCAGGCAGAUCCAGAAGAGCUUGAAGUGAGCAGAGAACAGUUACCUGUGCAGAGAAGUGCCUGCCUAUGGAUCUACAUCAAGUAACACACAGAGAGCUGGCUCCUCUUCUUCUUUUAGCACUGGCUUGGCCUCGGGCAGGUCACACUGGAUCGGGGAGGAGAUUUAAUGUAGCAUGUUAUAACUGAGUUUAUGCAGAGGGUCUCCUGCAUGUGUCAGUGCUAAGGUGAAGCAGAAGCAGAUGGUGACGUGUGUCAGGUCCAGUCAGCUUAUUUUCCAGGCAAACCAUGCCGUGAUUCACCAAAAACAAUGUUCUGUUGCCAAACACUUGCUUAGGAGAGAGCUUUUGUUCUGCAGGCUUUGGGCUUUUCACUGUUGAUGGUUUUGGCUGUAUGGAAAUGUGAAAUGAUGAGAUAUAAUAAAAUACGCCAUUAGUUA
Strigops habroptila (Kakapo) is the source of this 4112-nucleotide long non-coding RNA. RefSeq lists it as uncharacterized. NCBI's taxonomy places the organism in Eukaryota, Metazoa, Chordata, Aves, Psittaciformes, Psittacidae. The transcript has 2 exons. The record is from RefSeq and is a predicted model, not a curated record.